CAGCACCUCAAGUGGUCAGGAUGAUUAUUGGGCCUAAAGCAUCCGUAGCCGGCGCUGUAAGUUUUCGGUUAAAUCUGUACGCUCAACGUACAGGCUGCCGGGAAUACUGCAGCGCUAGGGAGUGGGAGAGGUAGACGGUACUCGGUAGGAAGGGGCAAAAUCCUUUGAUCUAUUGAUGACCACCUGUGGCGAAGGCGGUCUACCAGAACACGUCCGACGGUGAGGGAUGAAAGCUGGGGGAGCAAACCGGAUUAGAUACCCGAGUAGUCC
This 270-nucleotide ribosomal RNA is filed under the name uncultured archaeon. Its description in RNAcentral is "partial 16S ribosomal RNA". It matches the Rfam family "Archaeal small subunit ribosomal RNA", at positions 477 to 747 of the family's 1478-position model. The record is from RNAcentral.